Non-coding RNA from Phrynosoma platyrhinos (Desert horned lizard), 72 nucleotides. The record is from the annotation of a GenBank genome assembly. NCBI's taxonomy places the organism in Eukaryota, Metazoa, Chordata, Lepidosauria, Squamata, Phrynosomatidae.
ACCGGUGUGGCAUAGUGGUUUGAGCAUUAGGCUAUGACUCUAGAGAUCAGGGUUCAAUUCCUCUCUCCAUCG